AACGACGCUGGCGGCGCGUUUUAAGCAUGCAAGUCGAGCGGCAGGGGGGCUUCGGUCCCCGAGAGCGGCGGACGGGUGAGUAACACGUGGACAACCUGCCCCCCGGUUCGGGAUAGCCCAGGGAAACCUGGAUCAAUACCGGAUGCGAGGGCGGCCGCACAAGCGGCCGUCGGGAAAGGCGCUUCGGCGCCGCCGGGGGAUGGGUCCGCGUCCCAUUAGCUAGACGGUGGGGUAACGGCCCACCGUGGCGAUGAUGGGUAGCCGGCCUGAGAGGGUGGACGGCCACAUUGGAACUGAGACACGGUCCAGACUCCUACGGGAGGCAGCAGCUAAGAAUCUUCCGCAAUGGGCGAAAGCCUGACGGAGCGACGCCGCGUGAACGAAGAAGGCCGUGAGGUUGUAAAGUUCUUUUCGGGAGGGGGAACGAGGCUGCCAGGCAAUGGGCGGCCGAUGACGUGAAUCCCGGAAUAAGCCCCGGCUAACUACGUG
RNAcentral lists this ribosomal RNA (489 nucleotides) under uncultured bacterium. Its description in RNAcentral is "bacterial SSU rRNA". It matches the Rfam family "Bacterial small subunit ribosomal RNA", at positions 33 to 507 of the family's 1533-position model. The record is from RNAcentral.